AACGUAGGAGGCGAGCGUUAUCCGGAUUUACUGGGUGUAAAGCGCGUGCAGGCGGUCUUGUAAGUGGUGCGUGAAAGCGCCCGGCUCAACCGGGCGAGGCCGUGCCAGACUGCGAGGCUGGAGGCAGGUAGAGGCGGGUGGAAUUCCGGGUGUAGUGGUGAAAUGCGUAGAGAUCCGGAGGAACACCAGUGGCGAAGGCGACCCGCUGGGCCUGGCCUGACGCUCAGACGCGAAAGCAUGGGGAGCGAACGGG
RNAcentral lists this ribosomal RNA (253 nucleotides) under uncultured bacterium. Its description in RNAcentral is "partial 16S ribosomal RNA". It matches the Rfam family "Bacterial small subunit ribosomal RNA", at positions 524 to 776 of the family's 1533-position model. The record is from RNAcentral.